UACGGAGGGUGCAAGCGUUAUCCGGAUUUACUGGGCUUAAAGGGUGCGUAGGCGGGUCUGUAAGUCAGUGGUGAAAUCUCCGAGCUUAACUCGGAAACUGCCAUUGAUACUAUAGGUCUUGAAUUAUCUGGAGGUAAGCGGAAUAUGUCAUGUAGCGGUGAAAUGCUUAGAUAUGACAUAGAACACCAAUUGCGAAGGCAGCUUACUACGGAUUGAUUGACACUGAGGCACGAAAGCGUGGGGAUCAAACAGG
RNAcentral lists this ribosomal RNA (253 nucleotides) under uncultured bacterium. Its description in RNAcentral is "partial 16S ribosomal RNA". It matches the Rfam family "Bacterial small subunit ribosomal RNA", at positions 524 to 776 of the family's 1533-position model. The record is from RNAcentral.